AACGCUGGCGGCGUGCCUAAUACAUGCAAGUCGAGCGAACGGACGAGAAGCUUGCUUCUCUGAUGUUAGCGGCGGACGGGUGAGUAACACGUGGAUAACCUACCUAUAAGACUGGGAUAACUUCGGGAAACCGGAGCUAAUACCGGAUAAUAUUUUGAACCGCAUGGUUCAAAAGUGAAAGACGGUCUUGCUGUCACUUAUAGAUGGAUCCGCGCUGCAUUAGCUAGUUGGUAAGGUAACGGCUUACCAAGGCAACGAUGCAUAGCCGACCUGAGAGGGUGAUCGGCCACACUGGAACUGAGACACGGUCCAGACUCCUACGGGAGGCAGCAGUAGGGAAUCUUCCGCAAUGGGCGAAAGCCUGACGGAGCAACGCCGCGUGAGUGAUGAAGGUCUUCGGAUCGUAAAACUCUGUUAUUAGGGAAGAACAUAUGUGUAAGUAACUGUGCACAUCUUGACGGUACCUAAUCAGAAAGCCACGGCUAACUACGUGCCAGCAGCCGCGGUAAUACGUAGGUGGCAAGCGUUAUCCGGAAUUAUUGGGCGUAAAGCGCGCGUAGGCGGUUUUUUAAGUCUGAUGUGAAAGCCCACGGCUCAACCGUGGAGGGUCAUUGGAAACUGGAAAACUUGAGUGCAGAAGAGGAAAGUGGAAUUCCAUGUGUAGCGGUGAAAUGCGCAGAGAUAUGGAGGAACACCAGUGGCGAAGGCGACUUUCUGGUCUGUAACUGACGCUGAUGUGCGAAAGCGUGGGGAUCAAACAGGAUUAGAUACCCUGGUAGUCCACGCCGUAAACGAUGAGUGCUAAGUGUUAGGGGGUUUCCGCCCCUUAGUGCUGCAGCUAACGCAUUA
Molecule: ribosomal RNA, 849 nt
Filed under: Staphylococcus aureus
Lineage: Bacteria; Bacillati; Bacillota; Bacilli; Caryophanales; Staphylococcaceae
Description: bacterial SSU rRNA
Rfam family: Bacterial small subunit ribosomal RNA
Source: RNAcentral